GGUUUUAUAUUCAUCAGUGAUGAUUUUGGAAUGCAAUUCUAAAGGUGUAAUUAUUACUAAGACUU
Molecule: transfer RNA, 65 nt
Filed under: Humbertiella nada
Lineage: Eukaryota; Metazoa; Arthropoda; Insecta; Mantodea; Gonypetidae
Description: tRNA-Cys
Source: RNAcentral